This is a non-coding RNA of 367 nucleotides. It matches the Rfam family "transfer-messenger RNA". Rfam says of the family: Bacterial tmRNA, also known as 10Sa RNA or SsrA, is named for its dual tRNA and mRNA-like properties. Its role is to liberate the mRNA from a stalled ribosome. To accomplish this part of the tmRNA is used as a reading frame that ends in a translation stop signal. The record is from Rfam.
GGGGGCGUUAUGGAUUCGACGGGUAUAGUUUGAGCCUGAAUUGCAUUCCGUACGACGAUGCGUCAAAUCGCUCAGUUUAAUUAUAACUGCAAAAAAUAAUAACAAUUCUUACGCCGUAGCUGCCUAAUAAGCGCUUGACGUAGAUCUAGCUGAUUUUUCCUAUGGAUCAGUCCUAGGUCCUACCUUUAAUAGGAUACGCUUACUGCUCCCAUCUGAAGUAGUAUGAAGAGAUUAAUCAGAUUAGCUGUGCAUGCUAGCAUUGACUAAUUGCGGAUUGUACAGUGAAAUUCAAAUGAUUAGCCUACGAAUGUAGACGUUCAGGAGGCAAUAUGCCCGGACGCGGGUUCAAAUCCCGCCGCCUCCAUAA